CCUACGGGUGGCUGCAGUGGGGAAUAUUGGGCAAUGGAGGCAACUCUGACCCAGCAACGCCGCGUGAAUGAUGAAGGUCUUCGGAUUGUAAAGUUCUGUUAUGGGGGAUGAACACAAUGACGGUACCCCAAUAGCACGCCACGGCUAAAUACGGGCCAGCCGCCGCGGUAAUACGUGGGGGGCAAGCGUUCUCCGGAAUGACUGGGCGUAAAGGGUGCGUAGGGGGUUUUGUAAGUUGGCGGGGUAAUUCCGGGGCUCAACCUCGGCGCUACCGCCAAAACUAUUAGACUAGAGUGCAGGAGAGGUAAGUGGAAUUCCUAGUGUAGCGGUGGAAUGCGUAGAUAUUAGGAGGAACAUCAGGGGCGAAGGCGACUUACUGGGCUUUUACUGACACUGAGGCACGAAAGCGUGGGGAGCAAACAGGAUUAGAUACCCUAGUAGUC
RNAcentral lists this ribosomal RNA (443 nucleotides) under uncultured bacterium. RNAcentral's name for it is "partial 16S ribosomal RNA". It matches the Rfam family "Bacterial small subunit ribosomal RNA", at positions 338 to 795 of the family's 1533-position model. The record is from RNAcentral.